GCCCUCUCAGACUCGCACCUGGAGAGUUUCCAGUACUCUACCAGUCUUGACUAUGGGAGGGAGAGUCGAGCAGAGGCCGACCCAUUCCAUUCCUAGCUUGGGCAGGGACUAGUGAGGGGAAGGCAAUCUGCUUUAAGU
Molecule: small nucleolar RNA, 138 nt
Filed under: Ornithorhynchus anatinus (platypus)
Lineage: Eukaryota; Metazoa; Chordata; Mammalia; Monotremata; Ornithorhynchidae
Source: RNAcentral